GAUAAACGCUGGCGGCGUGCCUAACACAUGCAAGUCGAACGCCCUUUUGCGCAAGUGAGAGGGAGUGGCGGACGGGUGAGUACCACGUGGGUACCUACCUUGAGGUGAGGAAUACCACCGAGAAAUCGGUGACAAGACCGCAUACGCUUGGCAACAAGCAAAGUCUCGCAAGAGACGCCACAAGAUGGGCCUGCGCCUGAUUAGCUAGUUGGUGAGGUAAUGGCNCACCAAGGCGACGAUCAGUAGCUGGUCUGAGAGGAUGAUCAGCCACACUGGGAUUGAGAACGGCCCAGACUCCGUACGGGGGCGA
Molecule: ribosomal RNA, 310 nt
Filed under: uncultured bacterium
Lineage: Bacteria
Description: bacterial SSU rRNA
Rfam family: Bacterial small subunit ribosomal RNA
Source: RNAcentral